GUGAGGAAUAUUGGACAAUGGAUGGAAAUCUGAUCCAGCCAUGCCGCGUGCAGGAAGACGGCCCUAUGGGUUGUAAACUGCUUUUAUACGGGAGCAAUAAGGUCUAUGCAUAGAUUGAUGAGAGUACCGUAUGAAUAAGCAUCGGCUAACUCCGUGCCAGCAGCCGCGGUAAUACGGAGGAUGCGAGCGUUAUCCGGAUUUAUUGGGUUUAAAGGGUGCGUAGGCGGCUUUGUAAGUCAGCGGUGAAAUUUUGCAGCUUAACUGUAAAAGCGCCGUUGAUACUGUGAAGCUAGGAUUUGGUUGCUGUGGGCGGAAUGUGUGGUGUAGCGGUGAAAUGCAUAGAGAUCACACAGAAUAUCGAUUGCGAAGGCAGCUCACAAAGCCAAUAUUGACGCUGAGGCACGAAAGUGUGGGGAUCAAACAGGAUUAGAUACCCGGGUAGUCC
Molecule: ribosomal RNA, 445 nt
Filed under: uncultured bacterium
Lineage: Bacteria
Description: partial 16S ribosomal RNA
Rfam family: Bacterial small subunit ribosomal RNA
Source: RNAcentral